This 341-nucleotide unclassified non-coding RNA is filed under the name Hevea brasiliensis (rubber tree). The record is from RNAcentral. Lineage: Eukaryota; Viridiplantae; Streptophyta; Magnoliopsida; Malpighiales; Euphorbiaceae.
AAAUUAAUUCUGGAAUUAGUCAUGCCUUAUCUGUCCCCCCUGAGUCAUGUCUUAGGGUUUGCGUUUGCAACUGGACAUAUGUUGUUUGUUUCAUGAUUCAUCUUCUCAGGUGCUUCACCUGCUUUAAUCCAUGUUAUACUGAACUUUGACUACCUGCAGUUCUUUUGUUUUUGUGUCUGAUUAAGAAGUACGGCAUGCUGGCUGUUCUUCACGGAGAGAUAUUUUAUGCUUUGACCGGGAUUGCUUCUUUGCUAUUUGUAUUUUGUCUCAGUUGUGCUUCUCUUGCAUGUAUGACAGUUUCAACUCCUGUCCUCUUGUUGACUUCUUAUAUUGCAUGUUUG